This is an RNA transcript of Oncorhynchus keta (chum salmon), 3288 nucleotides long. It is a transcript of the gene named MOB kinase activator 2-like, with no coding region annotated. The record is from RefSeq and is a predicted model, not a curated record. The transcript has 7 exons. Lineage: Eukaryota; Metazoa; Chordata; Actinopteri; Salmoniformes; Salmonidae.
CUUUUUUCGCACUCCGAGGACUCUCCUCUCCACGGAUUGGCUGCAAGUGGAGAAGGGGGGCUGGCAGUUGCGAAAGCCACAAAUAAGUUUCUCUUCAGGUCACUCACUGUACAUGAGAAAGUUGAAGUGUUUAAUUUUGGAGCCUCAUCCGAGAGCGACGGAGUCGAUAAAGUUUUUAAACGUUUUUCCAUUCAAGUAUGGUCGGAGAUUACUGUUCUAUUUCAGGCGAAAAUACGGAUAUGCACUCACAGAGGAACGCAAAAAGCGGAUUAAGUUGUAAAAUGGUUCUUCAGGCGGUGGGCAAAGUUUUAAGGAAGUCUAAGACGAAGCCCAAUGGGAAGAAGCCGCCAGCGGAAGAGAAGAAGCAGUAUCUGGAGGCGGAGUUCACUAAAGUACGCGUGGUCGACUUCGACCUCAAAGAGCUGGUGCUGCUGCCCAGGGAGAUAGACCUCAACGAAUGGCUCGCCAGCAACACGACGACCUUCUUCAAUCUAAUAAACCUGCAGUACAGCACCAUCUCAGAGUUCUGUACUGGAGACACCUGUCAAGCCAUGACGGCCUGCAACACGUAAGUCAUCUCCCCCACCAUUGGUUUAUUCAUCAGUUCUCUAACCUCCAAUUGGGUUAUUUAUCAGUCUCACAACCCAUUGGAUAAUUUAUCAAGGAUGCGCUGACACGGCAACAGACCGUCUGUUGAAAGCAGGAGAGCUCCUGACCACAGGGCUGUACUCAAUGUUCCCUAUGUCUUUCUGUUGUUUGUGUCCCUUCUCUGUCUGGCUCUCUGUCUCUGUCUGGCUCUCUGUCUCUGUCUGGCUCUCUGUCUCUGUCUGGCUCUCUGUCUCUGUCUGGCUCUCUGUCUCUGUCUGGCUCUCUGUCUGGCUCUCUGUCUGGCUCUCUGUCUGGCUCUCUGUCUGGCUCUGUCUGGCUCUCUGUCUGGCUCUCUGUCUGGCUCUCUGUCUGGCUCUCUGUCUCUGUCUGGCUCUCUGUCUGGUUCUCUGUCUGGCUCUGUCUCUGUCUGGCUCUGUCUGGCUCUGUCUGGCUCUGUCUCUGUCUGGCUCUCUGUCUGGCUCUGUCUCUGUCUGGCUCUCUCUCUCUGUCUGGCUCUCUCUCUACUCACUCACUCACUCUACUCACUCACUCACUCUACUCACUCACUCACUCACUCACUCACUCUGUCUCUGUGUGUUCUAAAUUUGAGAACUUUAGAGGUAUCUGUUAGUCAAAGAAUGUCCGAAUAUGCUGCGAGUAUUCUCGAAUCACAUGAGCCUUUCUGAGGUAUCGUGUGUUCCUGUCUGCACUGGUGCAUAGUGAGGUCUCUGAACACAGUGUUCCUGUCUGGACUGGUGCAUAGUGAGGUCUCUGAACACAGUGUUCCUGUCUGCACUGGUGCAUAGUGAGGUCUCUGAACACAGUGUUCCUGUCUGGACUGGUGCAUAGUGAGGUCUCUGAACACAGUGUUCCUGUCUGGACUGGUGCAUAGUGAGGUCUCUGAACACAGUGUUCCUGUCUGGACUGGUGCAUAGUGAGGUCUCUGAACACAGUGUUCCUGUCUGGACUGGUGCAUAGUGAGGUCUCUGAACACAGUGUUCCUGUCUGGACUGGUGCAUAGUGAGGUCUCUGAACACAGUGUUCCUGUCUGGACUGGUGCAUAGUGAGGUCUCUGAACACAGUGUUCCUGUCUGGACUGGUGCAUAGUGACGUCUCUGAACACAAUGUUCCUGUCUGGACUGGUGCAUAGUGAGGUCUCUGAACACAAUGUUCCUGUCUGGACUGGUGCAUAGUGAGGUCUCUGAACACAAUGUUCCUGUCUGGACUGGUGCAUAGUGAGGUCUCUGAACACAAUGUUCCUGUCUGGACUGGUGCAUAGUGAGGUCUCUGAACACAGUGUUCCUGUCUGGACUGGUGCAUAGUGAGGUCUCUGAACACAAUGUUUCUGUCUGCACUGGUGCAUAGUGAGGUCUCUGAACACAGUGUUCCUGUCUGGACUGGUGCAUAGUGAGGUCUCUGAACACAGUGUUCCUGUCUGGACUGGUGCAUAGUGAGGUCUCUGAACACAGUGUUCCUGUCUGGACUGGUGCAUAGUGAGGUCUCUGAACACAGUGUUCCUGUCUGGACUGGUGCAUAGUGAGGUCUCUGAACACAGUGUUCCUGUCUGCACUGGUGCAUAGUGAGGUCUCUGAACACAGUGUUCCUGUCUGGACUGGUGCAUAGUGAGGUCUCUGAACACAAUGUUCCUGUCUGCACUGGUGCAUAGUGAGGUCUCUGAACACAGUGUUCCUGUCUGGACUGGUGCAUAGUGAGGUCUCUGAACACAGUGUUCCUGUUUGGACUGGUGCAUAGUGACGUCUCUGAACAUAGUGUUCCUGUCUGGACUGGUGCAUAGUGAGGUCUCUGUACACAAUGUUCCUGUCUGGACUGGUGCAUAGUGAGAUCUCUGAACACAGUGUUCCUGUCUGGACUGGUGCAUAGUGAGGUCUCUGAACACAGUGUUCCUGUCUGCACUGGUGCAUAGUGAGGUCUCUGAACACAGUGUUCCUGUCUGGACUGGUGCAUAGUGAGGUCUCUGAACACAAUGUUCCUGUCUGCACUGGUGCAUAGUGAGGUCUCUGAACACAGUGUUCCUGUCUGGACUGGUGCAUAGUGAGGUCUCUGAACACAGUGUUCCUGUCUGCACUGGUGCAUAGUGAGGUCUCUGAACACAAUGUUCCUGUCUGGACUGGUGCAUAGUGAGGUCUCUGUACACAAUGUUCCUGUCUGGACUGGUGCAUAGUGAGGUCUCUGAACACAAUGUUCCUGUCUGGACUGGUGCAUAGUGAGGUCUCUGAACACAGUGUUCCUGUCUGGACUGGUGCAUAGUGAGGAUAGAGAGCAGAGAUCAAACCGUUCUGAGGAGAUUUUAUUUCUGUGCGUUCCAAUGCCAACGUAACUAUCUAGCUAAUAGUUGUUGCCCCUGUCGUAAAACCCUUUCAAACAUAUAGAAGUCAUUAUGGGAGAACAUGAGUCAUCACUAUACCAGCACUCUGAUGAUAGUUUAGCUCAGAAGUCCAAACAGGGUCGUAAAAUAUCACCGUCAGCCAUCGUUGUUCAUAAAGGAAUACCGAUACUCAGUACAGAGAGCUCCUGUUUAUUUACCUCGGUACAAAGGCAGGGCAUCCCGCUGCAGUAGUGAAACAAGUGUUAGACAUAACAUGUUCAUCUGUUCAUCCCUGUCAAGCAGAGUGGAGGAGGUUGACUGAGUAUUUACCCAAUGAGUUGACCCUCUCGGGGCGGGGUAGCGUCUUGGAAAGA